AACGAACGCUGGCGGCAGGCCUAACACAUGCAAGUCGAACGCACCGCAAGGUGAGUGGCGCACGGGUGAGUAACACGUGGGAAUGUACCCUUUGGUUCGGAAUAACGUUUGGAAACGAACGCUAAUACCGGAUGAGCCCUGCGGGGGAAAGAUUUAUAGCAAAAGGAGCAGCCCGCGUCUGAUUAGUUGGUUGGUGGGGUAAAGGCUACCAAGGCGACGAUCAGUAGCUGGUCUGAGAGGAUGAUCAGCCACACUGGGACUGAGACACGGCCCAGACUCCUACGGGAGGCAGCAGUGGGGAAUAUUGGACAAUGGGCGCAAGCCUUAUCCAGCCAUGCCGCGUGAGUGAUGAAGGCCUUCGGGUUGUAAAGCUCUUUCGCACACGACGAUGAUGACGGUAGUGUGAGAAGAAGCCCCGGCUAACUUCGUGCCAGCCGCCGCAGUAA
This 446-nucleotide ribosomal RNA is filed under the name uncultured bacterium. RNAcentral describes it as "partial 16S ribosomal RNA". It matches the Rfam family "Bacterial small subunit ribosomal RNA", at positions 29 to 523 of the family's 1533-position model. The record is from RNAcentral.